GAUGAACGCUGGCGGCGUGCCUAAUACAUGCAAGUCGAGCGAACAGACGAGGAGCUUGCUCCUCUGACGUUAGCGGCGGACGGGUGAGUAACACGUGGAUAACCUACCUAUAAGACUGGGAUAACUUCGGGAAACCGGAGCUAAUACCGGAUAAUAUAUUGAACCGCAUGGUUCAAUAGUGAAAGACGGUUUUGCUGUCACUUAUAGAUGGAUCCGCGCCGCAUUAGCUAGUUGGUAAGGUAACGGCUUACCAAGGCAACGAUGCGUAGCCGACCUGAGAGGGUGAUCGGCCACACGGGAACUGAGCCACGGUCCAGACUCCUACGGGAGGCAGCAGUAGGGAAUCUUCCGCAAUGGGCGAAAGCCUGACGGAGCAACGCCGCGUGAGUGAUGAAGGUCUUCGGAUCGUAAAACUCUUUUAUUAGGGAAGAACAAAUGUGUAAGUAACUGUGCACAUCUUGACGGUACCUAAUCAGAAAGCCACGGCUAACUACGUG
RNAcentral lists this ribosomal RNA (497 nucleotides) under uncultured bacterium. RNAcentral describes it as "partial 16S ribosomal RNA". It matches the Rfam family "Bacterial small subunit ribosomal RNA", at positions 28 to 507 of the family's 1533-position model. The record is from RNAcentral.